CCGAACAGAGCAUUCCCGCAGGUAGUUGGAAAGAGACCACGGACUUUGAGGGAAGCUCACUCAGGAUCUGCUCUCCGGCAAAGCAGUAAGUGAGGUGCUGAGAGCAGGAUGAGCUACUUUGUGGAUUCUGCUGGGAGCAGCCCAGUGCCUUACUCAGCGGCUCGUUCUGCAGUGGUGAGGCAAGGACCUAGCAACAUUUAUGAAGAUCCUCGAAUGACCUGUGGUUUCCAGUCCAAUUAUCACCAGCAAAGGCCUUGCUACCCCUUUUGGGAUGAAAUGGCAACUCAGGAAGUUCCUACUGGUC
Non-coding RNA from Saimiri boliviensis boliviensis (Bolivian squirrel monkey), 304 nucleotides. The record is from RefSeq and is a predicted model, not a curated record. NCBI's taxonomy places the organism in Eukaryota, Metazoa, Chordata, Mammalia, Primates, Cebidae.